GGAUCGAAGUAGAAUAAGAAGAGCACGGACAAAAUGGAGAAGAAGAGAGCAUGGGACAGUAUGAACACCAGAGUUUGCCACUGGUCCAUGCCGUAGAUUGCGUAGAUCUGCGUCCAGUCUCUGCUGCCAUUUGUCUUUCCCAUUUCAGGUAUGCCUCUCGGAAUCUGAAUAUCGUACUCUUUAGCGGCUUUGCUGCUGUCAAGUAGAUUUUGAUUUGUGUUUGGGAGAGAGUCUUUUAAUUUUCAAGACCUAAAACGGGAAGAGAAAUAAGAUUUAACAUUUCAGGAGUCAAAUUAAAACAAAAUCUUUCCAAACAAGAAUUUAUAAACACAACAAAAAUCCUCAAAUUCAAGUUGGAGAAACCGUUCAC
This 370-nucleotide long non-coding RNA is filed under the name Carica papaya (papaya). RNAcentral describes it as "long non-coding RNA (CPAP_LNC007390)". Lineage: Eukaryota; Viridiplantae; Streptophyta; Magnoliopsida; Brassicales; Caricaceae. The record is from RNAcentral.